UAAGUUGCAGCAGUAGUUGACGUGUCAUGAGAAUACUGGUUAUCCUUAUGCCCACCUGGCAGCUUCUCCUUUGUCUUGUCCAUCAUACCCUUCUCCUGGUGGCGCUCUCCUUCUCCAUCCUUGCUGCCACCAAAUGGCAGCUUAUCCUUUAUCUUGUCCAUUACACCCUUCUCCUGGUGGUGCUCGCCUUCUCCUGCAUAGGUGGUCCCACCGCCGUACUGUGCACCGGUGGUCGGCUUUGCAUGCAAGUACUGGUCAUCCUUGCUAGCACCGCCUGGCAGCUUCUCCUUUACCUUGUCCGUCACACCCUUUUUCUGGUGGUGCUCUCCUUCUCCUGCAUAGGUGGUCCCACCGCCGUAAUGUGCACCGGUGGUCGGCUUUGCAUGCGAGUACUGGUCAUCCUUGCUAGCACCGCCUGGCAGCUGCUCCUUCACCUUGUCCAUCACACCCUUCUUCUGGUCGCGCUCUCCUUCUCCUGCAUAGGUGGUCCCACCACCAUAAGGUGUAGCGGUCUGCGUUCCAUGAGAGUACUGGUCAUCCUUGUUACCACCACCUGGCAGCUUCUCCUUUACCUUGUCCAUCACACCCCUUUUCUGGUGGUGCUCUCCUUCACCUGUGUAGGUCGUCCCACCGCCGUAAGGUGUAGUGGUCUGCGUUCCAUGAGUGUACUGGUCAUCUUUGUUACCACCACCUGGUAGCUUCUCCUUUAUCUUUUCUUUUAGUCCCUUCUUCCUUCUUCCACCUAGCCCAUCAUCUUCAGACUACAAUAAUAGAAUGUUAGACCUUGUUACAAAAAAUAUAUGUAAAUAUAAUGCACAUAUCAUACUUAUAACCCUAAGAAAUUGUUCCAUCUGGUAAGAUAACAUGUUGAUGUAAUAUUUGAAUUUGAAACAUUGAUCGUGUUGAUAAUUGAAAAAACAAAAUGCGCAGAGAUGCAUAAAUCUAACAAGGGAACAAAAUACACUAAUUUUCCGAACAAUAUUCUUCAAGAUACGAAUUUGUAAUAUGUUAUUAAUUUAGAUCACUAAUGAGCCCAUCGUUGGUGCGCGCAAUUUUUCUUGCAAAAAUGUUAAAUUUGACAAUAGAAAAUUAUUACUUCUUUGAUUUUUCUAGCAACAUAAGUACCUCUUACAAGAAAAGUUUAUUCAUAGUACGCAUAGAUUUGUAGCAUAUCUCAUGCAUCUAAUGAAUUAACUUAGAACUACAUUUAUAUAGAGGUGAAAAGAGGAGAACUUACAGAGCUAGAGCUUCCGGAGCGCUGAAGUACGGCAGGGCCGCCAUGACGUCCAACAAUCACUUCAUCACCAGGCUUGGCAUGAGCAGUCCCGUAGCCAGUAUCAGUCCGACCGUGUUGAACCACGUUCCCUAACUCGUCGGUCCUACCGGCUCCUGCACUACCGUUAUAAGUCGGGUUCCCGUAGUUCUCGUUAGUUUUUUCGGGUGUUGAACCAUAAUUCGCCAUUUUUCAAAAGAACAACAAACAGAUUAACUGUAGUAACAAUGUUUUGCGACUAAUACAACAAUUGCAGUGAGAUAUUAGUGAUUUGCUUGGGAUGAUGUGUUUGAUUAGGAGUUGGGUUGGUUGGUUUAUAUAGACAACUGAUUUGCACCAGCAAGGCAUGCAGAUAUAGCGGUGAGCGUAAGGCAUUUUAACAACUUGGAGACAUGGCACUGCUGGGAAAAUGAUGACAAGUGAAAAUUAACGUCGGCAAGAUAUUUUGUUGCUUUUUGGGUGGGGGGUGGGGGGUGGGGGCAUAUGGAUAAAGAGAGAUGAAUACCUGUUUGAACUUUGAACAAUAAAAAAGAAAACGAUACGAAUACCUGCUCCCCUGGUGACCAUGGGAUUGGUGACACGUGCCCUCUGUACUUGUUCCACUAGCUAGCUCCCACGUGGGUAGUAUCUAUUGGUUUUAGCCUAGGUCUUAUUGACUGGUUGGUAAUUUGGUAUAUCUACUGGUCAUAAACUUGUAGAUCUUCUAGGUCUUACCGACAUGCUAUAAGUUAAAAGGAUAAUCUUAUAGAGACUAAAAUUAUAGAAAAAGUGUGGAAAUUAAAUAAUAUGAAAAUUAAUAAUAUUUAUUAUUUAAAUAUUAAUAAAUGUGUUUAUUUUUUAUUCGUGACAUAUUAUUUAAUUUGUAAAUUUUAUUUCUAAAUAUAGUUUCUCUAAGAUAUUACCCUAUAAGUUAUAUUGUCGUUUUAAUUUUUCUUUUGAUUAGAACAACCCAGACAUUAAUAAAAAGAAUCCUAUGUCGACAAACUCCACACCUUUAAAUCUUCUGCUACACACAAAUUUUCUACACUUCAAAAUAAAAGUAGGUCACAUAAUAUUACGAUUUAUUGGAAUUUUAUUUUAUUUAUAUAUGAAAGGUCUAAAGUUUGAUUUUCAUAAAAUAACGAAUUUGAACCAUAUUAUUACUAGUCCAAGGUUAAGCCUGUACUUUCACUUUUAGUGUAGAUAAUAUGAUUUGUUGAAAAACAAAUAAUGUUAAAAAUUAAUUUCAAGUGUAAUGUUAGAAAGACCACCUUUUUAUAUUAUGUAUCACAUAUUAAAUAAAAUUAAUUAAUUAACUUGACAUGUUCGAUCACUUGUUACAUUAUGUAAUACACAAGAUUAUACAAAGAUAUCUCCUUAGCAUUUUCUUUGACGCAAAUGUGUUUUAAAUAGAAUUAUUUUUCAAGCAAAUUACUAUUCAUUCGAAAGUAGCUCGUCCAUUUUACUUGCUAGAACUAUUUCUCUUGAAUAUACCCUUCUUCAAUUUUCACUCUCUACUGUCUACAUUUAAGCGUGGAUUACAAAGUCCUCUAUGAUGAAUGAUGAUCACUGUUAGAUUAAGAUUGAUUCGAACCAUCUUCGUUUUUAUCGCAUGUAGUCUAUAAGAAAGCAAUUUUUAAUUGUAAUUAGAAUAGAACUACUACCUAAAAAUGGAUUUGAUUAAACCAUAAACAGAGGUGAUACUCUCUACAUCUAAUAGGUUAUACACAUUAAUUUGCGCUAUAUCUUUGAAGAGGUUGCUUACGAUUACCGUGCCCGACCUAUACAUAAAGGAAGUCUUGCCAUCAAAAUUAUAAAAAAAAUAUUGACUUUGCUGGAGAUGUAUCCCUUGUAUGGAAUUUAAUGAUAUUUUAUGAGUUUCGACUUUGCCGGAGAAUGAUUAUCCCUCCUCUAGAUUAUGCUCCAUUUCAGUGGAGGCGUAGUAAAAUUUAUAGAAUUGGAUGUUUAUUUAACUUAUCUUUUGGUACAGUAAGAUUUUCAAUCAAAGAACGCCUAAACAGAAACCAGAAUGUAAUUGCUCCACUGAUAAAACGACAUACAAAGUACAUACUACAAAAACACAAACGACACUGCGAACCGCUCGCGGCUCACUCGUGCACGUAAGAAAAAAGUUCACACAGUCACGCCAAGCACCGAUUAUUAGCAUAUUAAAACAACUGACAGGCCCUAUAAUUCAAAUAUACGAAUUCACAGAUAUGCGUAUAUUUGUAUUUAGUGGUGUCCACCGGGAAGUUUUUCUUUGAUUUUGUCCAUGAUGCCCUUCUUUUCAUGGUGCUGUCCGGUGGUUCCACCGUAUGGUGUGGUGGUGGAGUGGUGCUGUCCGGUGGUUCCACCGUAUGGUGCUGUGGUGGAGUGGUGCUGUCCGGUGGUGGAGUGGUGCUGUCCGGUGGUUCCACCGUAUGGUGCUGUGGUGGAGUGGUGCUGUCCGGUGGUGGAGUGGUGCUGUCCGGUGGUUCCACCGUAUGGUGCGGUGGUGGAGGUCGUAUGUGAUGAGUAGGCAUCAUCCCUAUGCCCAGUCCCCGGAAUCUUGUCCUUGAUCUUGUCCGCAAUCCCCUCAUGCUGGUGCUCUCCGGUGUAGGUUGUCCCACCGUAAGGUGUAGGAUGGUCCGUACGGCCCCCAGUCCCUGGAAUCUUGUCCUUGAUCUUGUCCAUCAACCCCCUUUCACGGUACUCCCCUCCGGUGGAGGGGGCGGCAGUAGUCCCGUACCCAGUUCCAGUCGUGCCAAUACCGGUAUGGGCAUGCGAUGAGUAGUGGUCGUCAGCCCUACGUGCCCCACCAGUCCCUGGAAUCUUGUCUUUGAUCUUGUCCAUCAUCCCUCUUUUCUGUUGCUGCUGGCCUCCUGUGUACGUAUCGUUAGUAGUCCCGUACCCGGUUGUGGCGGUACCGAAGCCAGUGGCUCCGGUAGUGCCAUGUUGAAUUGGGUUUCCAAACUGAUCUGUUUCUUGGGGUGUUGCACCGUGUUGGUUCUGAUAGUGCGCCAUUGUUUCAAACUGAUUGCAAUUUGAUGAAAUAUUUCCGACUAAUUUGAUCUCAGAUGCGGAUGCUUAUAUAGGCAAACCGCGUAGAAAAGCAUGUCAUGCACUAGAGUAAAUCCAUGCCUUCAUGCCACGUUAGCAGCUGAGGACACCUGGCAGUUUUUAUGACGACACGUGUAGUGUGUUAGAGUCGAACAAAAUAAGAUCCAUUCUUUUGUCGUCAAGCUGAAGGCUCGUGACGGUUCCACCGCGUCCAUAUGCGAUAGUUGGGGACUAGCUUACGUCCGUACAUCAAAAUCCGUCGUGUAUUGAAACUGGGGAAAUUUUUAUUGUUACAUGAACACGGACGGUACAUUACGUUUUUUUUAUGUAAGUGGUGAGAAAUUUUAUUUUUUAAAUUAUUAACAUUUUAACACACAUGUCAUACCAUAUGUAAAAUGACACGUGAUGUACUAUUUUGUCUGCCAGUCAUACUAAAAAAUAUCUCUUGAAACUGGGAUGGUGAGACGUGUCAGAUUUCGACACGUGUUGGUAUUUGGUUAAUCUUGAUCUUAUUUUUACCGACUUUAGUAACUGGAUAGGUGCCGAGGAUUUUAUCGUUUAUCGGGUCCCACGUCAAUAGAUAUUUUCCAUUGGUUCGUAAGCACUACUGAACCGGCCCAAUUUCAGCAAGUUGUGGUAGCCCACAUACGGGUCCAAUAGGCCUUGUCUGUGGCAUAGUGAUAUUGGGCUGAUCACCAUUUGUUGAGUGGAUUCGGAAAAUCUGCUACGUGAUACGAAAGAUGAAUUUUUAAGGCUUAUUUAAGCCCACAACUCUCGAAAAUCAACUUUAUUCUCACAAUUCAAAAUGUGUUUUAGGGAGUUUUAACGAAAAGUUCAUGGUAUUGUUCACUUUAACGAAAAAUUAUAUUUUUACACUAAAAAGUCAAACCUGCUAAUAUUCACUUUACCCUUUAUUUUGUCCUUAUAGUUAAAACUCAAAAUUUUCAAACCCUUUUCAUUAGUUUUUCUUAAUUUUUAUUCACUUUACCUCAUCCCGUCACAUCCGUCAAAAUUAUUUUGAAAGGCGGCUCUUCUACGGUGGAUCCCGAUUGCUAAUUUUGGUAUUUGAUUGAAUAUUAAGGUAUGGGAUACAUCAUACGAUGCUGCGGUUGCCCAAAGUUUUGGGUGUUCCAACAAGAUGAGCAGACCCCAAUCUGGACCUUCAUCUGGCUUGAAUACGAAGACGGUAGAUGCAUAUUUUUCUGUUCAUUUUUUUCCUCCUUUUUUACAAGCUUCAGAGCUUCUUCUAGGGAACUAGUAGCAUUUCCCAUCCGUACAGGUCUUCCUCUUGCAGUUUUUUUUAGUACGUCAAUAUUUUUAUACUAAGGGAAAGGGGAGUUCGGCUAAGUCACAUAAUGAGCAGUCUAAUUUGGUAUCGAAUUCACGAGAUUCGAACCUAAGACAUCUCACUUCUAAGUGAAGAGGAAUAUCACCAGAUCAUAGUAUUUAGUGGCCUCUUGCAGUUUUGGAAGCUUAAUUUUACGAUGUUUGGGAUACCCCUUCACAGCCUUUAGGGGAGUAUACUUGGAGGUUGUUUUGCUUUCUGUAUUAAUGUUAUUUCCUGUCCUUAGUGUAAAACUAUAUUGAUGCACUAAAAAAAAUGUUAUUAAAAGGGUAUGAAGAUCCUCUUGGGAUCCCUUUAUCGUAUCCGUUCAUCAUAUAUCGUGCGGCCAAUUUUCUUUAGGUACUGUUUAUGUUCAAUUUUAAAUAAAAAAAAUCAAAUAGAUUUAUGGUCACAUGAUGACAGAUGAACGGACAUGAUGAAGUGUUCCUUAGGAUCUUCACUAAGAGGAUCCGAAUAGGACCCUAUUCCAUUAAAAGGGAAUAUGAACAAACAAACGGUUUUUGAAAUUAUAACUUAUAUAUGUUAGGAAGUUUCAAAUUGAAUCUCUGGUCCAAUUUUGAGUGUGAAAAUAAUUUUUACACUCUUUUUCUUCGUACUCAAGUGCUCUAAGUUUAUUUUUUUUGUUUGAUUCUGUUUUGAUUGGUUCAAUCUAAAUGUUAAAAGGAUAAUACUAGAGAGACCAAAUUUAUAAACCAAAUGAUGUGGAUGUUGAUGAUUGAAUUAUUACUUAAGUGUUAAUAUACUUAUUUCCUAUUAAUAACACAUCAUUUGAUUUGCAAAUUUGGUUUAAAAUUUUAGUCUUCCUAACAUUAUUCGUAUUAAAAAUAAAUACGAGAGUGCAUAAAUCACUUUUUUUUAGUGGUUCGGUUCACAUUUUUCCAACAAGAUCCUCUCUGGAUUCUUUUGGUGAGGAUCCUAGGGAUCCGUAAAUCAUGUCCGUUCAUCAUACAUCGUGUGAUCAGUUUUUGUCAGGUAGUGUUUGUAUUUAAUUUUUAAUAAAAAUAUUUAAAAUGAUUUCUAACCGUACGAUAUACGAUGAACAGAUAUGAUUCACAGAUCUUUGGAAUCUCACAAAAAGGAUCCGAUUUCCACAUUUUUGGCACCUAAAACAAAGAAAUGACACCAUCCAUCUCUUUUCCAAAGUAGAAUCAUAAUCACCAUAGGAGUUGAUUACUUAUCAAUUUAUUGAAGAAGAUGUCAAUGUUUCCUUGCAUCCAAAGAUUUUUAAUAUAUAAGCCGCGAUGGUCAACUCAGGUGGCGAGCGAGAGUGAAGUAAUGGGUUAGAAUUGAGCAAGAGUAAAGUAAUUAAUUGGUUAAGAUCAAAAUACACAAUUUUUGUUUUCAAUAUAUGAACUACUCAUUAGUACGAAAAAUUAACGUUUAUGAUUGUAUGAUAUAUUAUUUUUACUUAAUUGCCAGUCUAAUUGAUAUAAAACCAGACAGCCCAAUAAUCUGAAUUAUCGAAGACUUACCCAAAAAUAAAGUAUAGGUUUCAACUCGUUCCAAUGUAAAAAACAAAUGUGCACUAUACAUGACGUCCCUUUGAAAGGCAAUAAACUAGGUAAAAUCUAGUUGAAGACAAGUCCUCACUCAAAAGAGGAAAGAAGAAAAAAAGAAAGGCAUGUCAAGCCAAUAAUUAAUUUAUUAGGUACUCCAAAGAUGAUCAAAGCCUAAUCUUAAUCGAGAAUUAAAAAAACCCUAAACACGCUUUGGAUUUCGCUUAUUAUAAUUAAAACUUUCUUGCUCAUGUGAGCAUUGGUGUCAUAAUUGGUUGGCCACAUGCUCUUAUCAACCUAUCAAUUAAGAAUAACUAAUUAUCAUGCUUAGCCUUUCUUUUCCAAAUGAUGUAGUGGGCGGCAACUAUUGCCUUGGCUGGGCCCCAUGGAUAGCGAGAUUUUACAAUAUAUUCAGAAUAUGAGUGGUAUGUCAUAUGUUAUUAUAGAAGUGCAAGAAUUUUUUUUAAGCGUUUAUCCACUUGUAUUCAAAUACUAUUUACUUCUAACAUCACAAGCCUUAUUUAUUCAUAUUGAAAAAAAAAAAAAAAAAAAAAAAAGCUCUCCAUUCUCUGUCGCUGAAAACACAAAGGAAAAGUCAUAGUCGCAGGCCCUAAGCCUUUUAAGCUUGGGUGCCGACAGCAACCCCCUCCCUUUUCUCCUACUUCCCUCUUUCUCUUCUUCCCUCUUUCUCUUCUUCCCUUUUUCUAUCUUUUCAUUUUUCCUUGAGUUUUAUCCCAAACUUUUUUAGCUUGGUCUCUAUUUAUUCUUGUGCUUAUCUCAGAUUUGAGCUUCAUGCUCCUUCUUAGGCAUUUUUCGCCACAUCCCUAGCAUUUUUCGUCGGUUUGCACUGCCUUUUAUUUUUUAGUUUUCCUUCCUCCAUCUCCUCUGGCUGUAACGUCCUGCCCCCAAAAUAUAUAUUUUCGGGAAAUAAUUCUAAUGAUGGGCCCAAUUAAACUCUUGUUUAUUUAACUACCAUUAAUCGUGAUUCUUUAAUUAAAUGCCUUAAUUCCACCCAUGAUUUAAUUCCAGAAUUCUCUCACCAAGACAUAUGAUUAUAUUCUCAAUUUAUCACCAUUUUCUUUUCUUAUGUUAAUUUCCAUUCUAAAGAUUAAGGAGGUGUAUUCAAUUGGGAAUUUGAGGCAUUUUAAUUCUUUUAAUGAAUCUAUGGGUAUUCAAUCAGGGUUUUAUGUGAUUCUCUGAAAUUCAAGGUGUAUUCAAUUAGAAUUUUAAGCUAGUUUAUUAAAAUCCUUAGAAAUCCGGGUGUAUUUAAUUAGGAUUUUAAAAAAGUUCAUAACAUUCUAGGUGUAUUCAAUUAGAAAUUGAUUUUAAAGAAUUUGAGAAAGUUGAAGAAUUAGAGGGAAUUAGAUAAAUUUCGUAGUGUAUUUUAAGCAUCCACAAAUCUCACCUCUCCCGAUGAGAUUUCGAGGGAAUUGAAUUAAAAUUUUAUAUAGAAUCUCUACAAAUCAAUUAAACUCCAUAAAAAUCCAUAGAUUUAUAAAUCCAUUAAAAUCUCUCAAAUUCUCAAUUGAAUACACCCCCCUAAUUCUUGAUUAUUUAAGGCUGCAUCUAACACUGUUAGACUACUUACGUACCCUUGAGCGGGAUCAAGUCUUUCGUAGUUCACAAUUCAUUCUUUUAUCCAUUACCGAAUUCAUAUUGACCAAAAGUCAACUCUUGAUCAACAGUAGGGUCCACAUGUCACAUCCCCGCCCGGGCCCGAUGUCCUCGUCGGCACACUUCCGACCAGGGAUUGGCUCUGAUACCAUUUGUCAUAUCCCAGCCCGGGGCGGACCACUUCCCGAGCCCAUUCCACUACCGUAACACGAUAUUAUCUGCUUUGGGUUUACCAUUCCCUCACGGUUUUGUUUUUGGGAACUCACGAGCAAUUUCCCAGUGGGUCACUUAUCCUGGGAGUGUUCUGGCCUCCUUCUCGCUUAUAUCCAAAAUGCAACUGUAAUCAACAUAAGCAACAACGAUGUACACAGUUCACAUCAACAAGAAGAAAAAAAAAAGCUAAAAUUUACAAUAACUUGGUCUUAAUACUAGCUGGAGAUUAAACAAGAUGCUUAUUAUAUAUACUAUGCAUACGAAACAUGAACCUGCAGCUUCAGUUCCAGCAACUUCCAAGCGCCCAGAUCAGAUAUUGAACCCUCCCAGAUCGCAAUUGGGUGAAAAAUUACACCGCAUACCAGAUAUUCGAGGUUGUUGUAGAAGAGGGUGUGCUUGUCCAGCAGGAUCAAUUGCACCAAAGAGUGGAAAACGGUCAUAAUCUCUACCAAUUAUUCCACCAAUCCUUGGAGGUACAAACGGGUUAGGGUUCCUCCUGAUACGGUUGAAAUAAGGCCUCUCAAAUGAUCUCCACGUCACUACUGCUUUCAUUUGUUGCUUCCUAGUCUCCCAAUUUCCAACAAAUCUAAACUUCCAAUUAGUCACUGUUCCUUCACCUCCGGUUCCUUCUCCUCCAUUACCAUUACCGAACUCAUCAGCGUACUUCUGCUUCCACAACUCAUCAUUAUUACCAAGAUUUUGCAGCUCAUUACAAACACAACCCACCUUGGCAAUGUUAACACCAACCAGUGGCUCUAGAAUCUUCAUUUUGAUCUCCGGUGGAAGGCGCAUAAGGCUUGGUGGUGCAAGCAAACUAGCAUUUGCGCAAAGAUCAAUCAGCAAUGGGAAUGUGAUCCCAUCUUUCACAAUCUUCGAUAACUCUAAAACGAACCCAUCUCUGUCAUUGAAAUUUUAGGUUCCAUAAACGAAUUCAAUCGUUUGCGCGAAAGCAAUCUCAGGAUAGGUGACCCACCGAGAAGUUCUCGUGUGAGUUCCAAAAAAUAAAACCGUGAGGGCGUGGUUGGGGCCCAAAGCGGACAAUAUCUUGCUACGACGGAGUCAUGCCCGGGAUGUGGUGGGGGCCCGUGCCAGAAUGUGACAAAUGGUAUCAGAGCCAAUCCCUAGCCGGAAGUGUGUCGACGAGGACGUCGGGUCCGGGAUGUGGUGGACCCGGGCCGGGAUGUGACAAAUGGUAUCAGAGCCAAUCCUUGGUCAGAAGUGUGCCGACAAGGACGUCGGGUCCCUAAGGGGGGUGGAUUGUGACAUCCCAAAUCGCCCAGGAGAGUGAUCCUUAAAUGUAUAUUCUCAUCCCUACCUAGCACGAGGCCUUUUGGGAACUUACUGGCUUCGGGUUCCAUCAUAACUCUGAAGUUAAGCGAGUUCGCUCGAGAGAAAUCCCAGGAUGGGUGACCCACUGGGAAGUUCUCGUGUGAGUUCCAAAAAACAAAACCGUGAGGGUGUGGUCGGGGCCCAAAGUGAACAAUAUCUUGCUACGGUGGAGUCAUGCCUGGGAUGUGGUGGGGGCCCAGGCCGGAAUGUGACAAAUCUUUCUUGCUUAACUUCGGAGUUCCUACGGAACCCGAAGUCAGUGAGCUCCCAAAAGGCCUCGUGCUAGGUAGGGAUGAGAAUAUACAUUUAAGGAUCACUCCCUUGGGCGAUGUGGGAUGUCACACCACAAUUCUACAUAAUUUGAUCUGAAAGAUCCACUGUAACAUCCCACAUCGAUCAACGGAGAUGGGUGAUAUGCCUUAUAUGUGCAUGCCCACCUUCUAUAGCACGAGGCCUUUUGGGAACUCAUUGGCUUUGGGUUCCAUCGGAACUUCGAAGUUAAGCGAGUUCGGACGAGAGCAUUCCCAGGAUGGAUGACCCACUGGGAAGUUCUCACGUGAGUUCCUAGAAACAAAACCGUGAGGGCGUGGUCGGGGCCCAAAUCGGACAAUAUCGUGCUACGGCGGAGCCGAUUUGGGAUGUGACAGAAUGGCAUUAGAGUCACUAUGUUGUUCGGUGCGAGUGUGCCGACGAGGACAUCAAGCCCCUAAGAGGGUGGAUUGUAACAUCCCACAUCGACCAACGGAGAGGGGGUGAUGUGCCUUAUAUGUACAUGCCCACCUCCUAUAGCACGAUGCAUUUUGGGAACUCACUAGCUUUGGGUUCCAUUAGAACUUCGAAGUUAAGCAAAUUUGGAUGAGAGCAUUCCCAAGAUGGGUGACCCGCUGGGAAGUUCUCGCGUGAGUUCCCAGAAACAAAUCUGUGAGGGCAUGGUCGGGGCCCAAAACGGACAAUAUCAUGCUACGGCGGAGCCGGUCUAGAAUGUGACACUAGUCGUGCUUUUCCUUCCUCUCCUUUGCUUUCGAUCCUCUUUCCAACCCAUAAUCAUGAACUAGAUCUCAAAGUGUUGAACUCAAUCUUAACACAAGACCUUACACUCAUAGUCCACUGCUGAACUAGCAUGCCGAGAAUUUUGGGCAAAUGUGGAAAGAUUCACUUCGAAACAAAGGUGUAGCUCUCAUUUUGGGCCUAAGUUCUUGUGGGCCUCCCGUUGGAUCUUAAGUUGUAACUCUCAUUUUACUUGAGCCUUUUUACUCUUUUAUCCCUUUUUGUUUUUUUAAUGGUUUUGUGUUUUGUUUGAACUUUAGUCCAUCUACCGCAUUUGUAAUUUUUCCUGUCUUUAAUGAAGUUUGUUUUAUCAUAUCUUGUUUUGUUUUGUUCAAGCGAUAUGUAGAGAAGGAACAUAAUAUGGUAAAUAGCUAGUGUUCUUAAUACGAUAAAUUUUUAUGGUUAUUAGAAAGACAAAUUAUGUGGUGUAUAAUUUUAUAUGUUAUAAUAAGGAUGUGUUGUAGGAUUCAUAUGUUCCAUUUCUAGAAUAAAUUAAGAAUAAAUAGAGACACUUAUUUACAAUUCAAGUAUAACAAUAACAUCGCAUAGCUGUGUUUCGAAUACAUCAAAAUAUUACUUUCUUAACGCAACUAAGAUAUCCAACCAACAAUAACAUGCUUGUAAUAGUAUACUAGUAGUUAGCUAGCUGGUAAUUAACUGGGAGUCUGAUAAUUAACUAUAGCUAGCUGAUAAUUAACUAAAUUAUGGCACAUCUUCUCUGACUUUAAUAUUAAGACUUUGGUCAAUGUGACAUUUUUGUUUCAUUUCUCAUGGCCUGAUAAAAUAAAAAUGUGAUUCCUGCUUGAUAAACUUUCAAUUUUAUCUUCUAACAUGACCAUUUUUUGCUUUUUAAAAGAGAAUAGUUCAUGUGACAUGUGAGGACUUGUUAACUAUUGACUGUAGGGUAUCCUUAAAUAUUAUAUUUUAUUCUUCAUAUAAAAUGACUGGAUAAAAGCCACCCAUUUUGUGUGCGUUUAAAUAUAUGAGAGGUCUUAGGUUUGAUUUUCGCUAAAAAUGUGAAUUUGAACCACAUUAUUGCUAGUCUAUUGUGAUGCUUAGCCCAUUUCUACAGUCCUUUAACGUAGAUAAUACAAUUUGUUAAAAAAAAAAAGACAAUUUAAAAAGGAAUUUGAAUAAAAUUAAAAUUAAUAAAUAGAAAUGUAGGAAGUGAGAGAAAGAAAGUGGAGAAGUAAAACUAUGGUUAUGUGUUAGUGGGAGAAGGAGAAAAACAGCAAAAACUUAAUUGUUUUGAAGUUACUUUAAUACUCAUAUUUUUUAUUUUCUAAUAUUUUCGUUCAAUUAUGUAUAAAAUGGUAUAACAGUAAUUUUAUUGAUUUUUAGUUGAUAAACAUGUUCUAUUUAAUAUAGUUUAGAUUAAGGAUAGUGCUAUUUUUUUUUAAGAAAAAGGAUAGUGUUAUUAGCACAUCCAUUUUUACAUUCCACAUACACUUAUUCAUUUUUUCUAUUGAUAUUCUUCAAUUCAUUCGGUCAAAUGACCGAAAAUUGGGAAGGAUGUAUGAAAAAUAAAACUGAGUGUGGGGAUAGAACUAACCUAGAUUUGUGUUUUAAUCAUGGCCUAUUUUUAUAAAUUAAUGUCCAUUGAUAUAUCUAAAGAGCUUCUUAAAAAAUAUAAAAAAAAUAAAAAUAAAAACUUUAGAGUCCACUAAAUUUGUCUAACCUUUAUCAUCCAAGUUCCAACUUUGAAAACCACACAAAAUUCCAGCACACAAUAUGCCAACAUUUUUAAUUUCUAAGAAAAUAAAAUAAAGUAUAUGCCAACAUUAUUGACACGGGAAAUUUAAAUAAAAAAUGUAUUGCCUAAAAAAAAAAGAAGCAAAAUGUAUACAAACAAGAAGUAUUUUAUUAAAUAAAUUGGCAACAAAACCAGAAGCCAAAAGGAAAACGGAAGUAUCGCUUACACAUCCUUACAUGUUCAACAGUAAAACAACAACCCAUGACCUACCCAUCAAUCAUUGUACGAACAAAUUUACAAAAGCCAUGGAUGUUCUAAGUAGUUAAAACUUACACCUCAAUUAAUUUCACUAAUCUCUCACUUAAUCCAUGAUUAACCCGACUGAGUUUAGCACAUAAACAUGUCUGCAGAGGCCAUGAUUGGUUGAUUAUUCAAAAAGCCAGUACCCCAUGGGUUCAGAAACCCAUCACCUCCACCAAUAAUAUUAUGAUUAUCUUCUUCCUCAUAGAUCCAUUUGCUUGAAUUAAUACAAUCCAUAAUAUCAUUGAGAGACUGCAAUCUGUUUGUGAGCUCAUCCAUCUGAGCUCUGAGGACUGAGUUUUCUGCCUCGAGCUUCAUGUAAAGCUGGUUGGUCACGUUCAUGGAUGUGAUGAUCUGGUUGUUAUCCCUUGUCAGGAGACCAAUCUGAGCCGUCAGAUCAGUCAGAUGCUCCUGUUUUCGCAUCCGGGAUCGACGUGCCGAUUCCCGGUUGGACAGCAUUCUUUUGCGCUUUCUCUGGUCCAUGACUUGGUUAAGAUCUUCAUCAGAUCCUGAGUUUUGGAGCUUGCUUGACUCUGAAGAAACCCCACUUGAAGAAGCCAUGUGUGAAAUACUUAUAUGCUUAUAAAAAACCAAAAAAAUCUAAACUUUUCUCUUACCCAAGAAAGUUAAAGAGUUAUUAUUUGAAGAACGCAGAUGCUAGAUUUAAAAAAUAAUUAAGAAAAAAGUAAAAAUUGUUUAUAAAAUGUUGUAAAACCAGUAGAGGAAAACAACAGAGAAGGAUUGGACAAGGUGGGUUCUGCGAAGGAGGGUGGAGUUUAUCAUACACCCAGAGAGCAGGAUUUCACUGAGUACCGGAAACAUGAUUAAAUCUGUAGGUUUGUAUAUUAAGCAUUGGAGACAAAGAAGAAGAACAAAUGUUAUGAACUUUGAAGCAGAAACAAGGUUUUCAGAACCGGGAGAGAGGUUAUGAAAUUUGAAGCAGACACAAGGCGUUCAGAACCAGGAGAGGAGAGAGAAGAGAGAGAAAGAGAUCAAAUUCUUGGGGUAGGCAGGAAAGAUAAUGGAGAGGAGGUUUUGAAGAGUGGUGGAGGGUUGAAUAUAUAGGCCAGCAAUGGCCACCUAAAAUAUAUAAACUACCAAAAACAAUUUAAGAACAUGUCUGAUUGUCUCAUAUAAUAUAAUUAUGAGGAAAAAGCAAUAACAUAGAAUGUGACUCUUAAUGGCCAAGUCCUCAGUAUUUGAAAAGUUCACAGUUGCAUAUCGGAUAUGUAUUCUCCAAAGAGUCAAUAUUUUCCACCGAUUUUUGUACCACACAUUCAGUAUGAAAUGGUUAGGAUAAACUUGUAAACUGAAACGUCUUAAGAGAAACUGUGUCUCUCAUCUCAUCUUAAGAUUAUGUAACAAUCAUCCCUGAAUUAUAUAUUGAUAUAUAACUUGAGAAAUACUUUCUUUAACCAAUGCUAUAAUUAUGGAUUAUUGUUACAAUUAAGCCUAAAUUAUUAUGUAACAAUAUAAGUUAUAACAUGUAAGCAUUUCCUUGAAGCAGCUAUGAAUCGUAAAUCUUUGCAUAAUAAAAAUAGACGAAUUGUGAUUACCAAAUGAUUAAAAAAUGCAUGAUCACUCAUCUUUAAAUUUGAUAUUAAAAAUAAAAAAUGAACAUGUUUUUAUGUUUUUAACAUAAGAUGAUAUUUUUUUCCCUCAAGAAUCCAUCAUAUAGUGGACAAGUGUUGCAAAAUUAGGUUACACCAACCAAAAGUCGCACAAGAGUCUUGUGCUAACAUAGUUCUGACUUGCUGUUCUUGUUGAAUCCCAACACCAACAGUACAUGGGCAUGCGCAUGUGGUCAGAAUUCUGAGAGAUGGUCCCUUACAAUGGAAAAUGAUCAUUGUCGGAUCUUUUUUUUCUAAGGAUUCCGUGAUCGUGAUUGUUUAUCGUAUAAUGUGCGAUCAGUUUUUGUUAAGUACUAUUUAUAUUUAAUUUUAAAAUAAUUUCUAACCAUAUAAUAUACGAUGAACGAUCACAAUUACAGAAUCUUUAAAUCCUCAAAAAAAGGAUCCGACGAGAAUCUUUUUCCCCUUCCAAUUAAUGAAUAAUACGAAGGGUAACGUCUUUCACAGGUUAGGCCCCAAAACCAGUGGUCAUUGGCUGCCCAGCGAUGGAGAUGCGUUUCAUAAAAAGAAAAAGUCAAAAAAAAUAUAGCCACUCGAGUCCUUGUCAAGUUGUUCUCGUGCCCUCGAGGAAUGCUCAAAUUACUUUUGAAUAUGCCGUGCUCGAGGGCACUAGAAGCUUCUAAUUAAAAUCUUGAUGGUUUUGGUUUUCAGUCAAUUCUCAUGUUUGAUGUUUGUAAUUUUAUUUGAGCAUGAAUUGCAUGUUUUAGAUAUUUAAGAUUUUAGGUGACCAAUUUUGUUUGUUCUAUAAACAAUAAUCUCCUUAGGACUUUGAAAUUUUGAAUUUGGAAAACACAUAUGAUUUAUUGGACCCUUCCUCAACUUUGAUUGGUAAUUGAGGUCUACCCCAUUUAACUUGUUAUACGCUCACAUACAUACAUACAUACAUACAUACAUACAUAUAUAUAUAUAUAUAUGGUGGGGAGGAAGAGAGAGAGAGAGAGAGAGGAUAUUCCACUUUUUGUAUGCCAUGUGCUUAAGAUUUAGGUAAUCUUUCAUUUAAAGAUGCCAGCUCCAGUUACUUUUCCCCAAGCACACUUUUCAUAUUCAACACUGAACAAAAGGCAAUAGUAAGUACUGGUGUUUUUUUUAUAAAAAUGCGUAUAAAAAAAACAGAGCUAAAAAAGAUGUUUGGUAAAUAUUUAAAAAUAAUUUAUUUUCAUAGUUUUGAGUAAAAAAAAGCUAAAAACGCGAAGCAGCAAAAAUGAGUUUAUUCUCACAAUAUAGCAGAAACAAUUUUUUUUUCAAAGUACAGCAAUACCAAACCAGCCUGUUGACUUUCACACUACAAAUUUAAAGGGGGCAUUUUUCUCCUCCAUUAUAAACUAUGGUGUAUGCUUAUUUUACAGUUAAUAAUCUACCACGUGUCCUUUUAUUUGGCCUUGAUUAAUUUUUUUUUCAAAAUUAAAAAAAAAAAUUAAUGUGAAAGUAACUAAAGUUAAGUGAAAUGACACGUGACAGAUGAUUAAGUGUAUGGUGAGCAUACACUAUGAUAGUGAGAAAAAAUUGUCCCAUAAAUUUAGGGUGGCAUUUUUGCUCAAUGCCAUAACUAUGUUGUAUGCUCACUAUACACUUAAUCAGUUGUCAUGUAUCUUUUCACCUAACUCUAGUUAAUGUUCACAAUAAAUGUUACUUUUUCAAUUUUGAAAAAAAUUAAUCAAGGUUAAUUGAAAGGACACGCGACAAAUGAUUAAGUGUAUGUUGAGUAUACACCAAAAUUUAGAGCGUUGAGCACAAAUAUUCCUAUAAAUUUAGCGUGCAUGGCACUGUUUUUUUCUGUAUAGAAAAAUUCUGAAACAAGUGAAAUGCCAAGGAGACUUUCAAAAUGAGACUCUCUAUAGAAUCUCUGACAUCUCAUAUUUUAAUAUCAAUUUUCAUGCUAACAUUAUAAAUAUUAUGCUAAAAGCAUGAGAUAGCAAAAAGUACAUGAAAAAUCAUACUUUUGAAAGACUCAUGCAUAAAACAAAUCAUUUAUAGUGUGAGAAGCUAAAUUGACAGUACCAAAAUCGCUGCCGAAUCUAAAAGCCAGUGAAAUCAUAAGCAACUCAGGGCAUAUUUGAAGUCUUUCUUGGACCUUAUUUUUCGUUAAAGUGAACAGUACCAAAAUUUUUUCAUUAAAGUUUUCUAUGAAAAAAGGAUAUGGUAUUGCAAGUUGCCGUGGAGGGCUUGGCCCCUAGUGUCAUUGAAAAAAGAAGGGGGAGGAAACCAGGCAGGCAAGCGGUGGGCAGAGCAGAGGUCAGUGAGUGGUGGGAAGUUGGGGGUUGAGAAGAAAAGUUGGCAGACAUAAAUAUCCAUGCUCAUCAACUUCUUCUGUGGAGGUCUCUUUCCUUGGGUCUCAACUUGUGUGCUCUUUUUCCUUUCAAGUGCACUUUUGAGUGUCAUGUUUUUAAUUUUUUUUUGUGUGUAUAUAGUUGGAUAUAAAUAUAUAUGGUGGAUGUUUCCCUAGUUUGUUUGCCAAAAUAAAUUUAAAAAGGCAGCAUAUCCAUGCAGCAGCUUUAGAAAUAGGGUGAUGCUAUAUUUUUACUUCUUAAAUACUCAUUGUUAAUUUUUGUUUUUUUUAUUUUCUUCAAUUCAUCCAAUUCGAUGACCGGAAAUUAAAACGAGUGUAAAAAGUAAAAAAGAGUGUGGAUAGCACUACAUAAGAGAGAAUGCAUAUAGAAAUGAAGAAUGGUGAGUGAAGGUUCAAGGAAUAAAGGAGAAGAAUAUAGGAAAUAAAAACAAGAGAAAAUAUAAUAGACAUAGUUUUUUGUUUUUAUUUUGUGUAUUCUUCUAUAUCCACUUCAUUCCCACCACUUAUCCUCCACCUCUGGCCGUCCAUCGUUUCUCUCUUAUAUUUCCUCUUUAUUGUUAACAAAAUAGUAAAAACGAAAUAGUUUUCAGACAACUUUAUAUUCAAUUCCGGUAGACAUUGACCAACCAAUUUCUAAACAAAAACGAGGGGCUAUUUAACCACUCUGCUAUCCAUCCAUAAUGGUUUUCUUCUCUAAGGAAUAACGUUUCCGUUAAUAGUUUUUAGUUUUCAAUUUUUGUUCGCGAUAGAGAAACUACAUGGAGGAAAAGAGGGACGAAGAAGGGUGGAGGUACAAAUGAGGGAUAAACAAAGGACGAUGAUUAAAAUAGAAAUUCGAAAUUAUAACUUAAAAGUUUGUUUUAGUUCUUCCUUUUCAUUUUAUGUAGCAUUUCAUAGACAUCUUCGACCUCCCUCCCACCACUGUUACUCCACCGUUCUUCAUCCCUCAUUUCUCCUCUUUCUCGACAUCUCUGUCAAGUUUUCAUAGCUCUAGGGCAGUCGUAGUCUCCGAUUAGUGCCUACCACAGAAGUACAAAGCAAAUGACACAAAUCAUAUGGUGAAAUUCUAGGAACGAUUAUUCCUUUCGCCUUCUGGUAAACCAGCAUAUGCUUCUGCAUAUACACUAAGCUUUGAGCAAGGGUCGCCUUUGAGUAAAGAAACCUAAAGAGAGAAUGAAAACAGAAGAGAAGAAUGGAAUAAAAAUGGACGCGUCUUUAUUCAAUUCCCUUGGUUAUAAUCAGGAAUGUCUUACAUGCAUUAUCCGUAAUACAGAUUCAUAGCCGUAGACUACAAAUAACAAGCGUAAAAAUACACAGAGUUACACGAUAGACCAACAAUACGUUUCUCUAAUGCAAGGUUUUCUAUAAUUAAUAAACACAUUGCACAAAGAAACAGGAAAGCCUUUUGAAAGUUUACCUAGGCAUGCACAAAAGACGCUUCUGGAUAAUAGUGAAGCAUCUGAGCAGCUUCUGGAUGGUAGUGAAGCAUCUCGUUCCACAUCAUCUCCCUAAUCAUUGGUUCCUCCAUAUUCUCAUCUAUGUCGAGACUGAUGGGAACCUGGGCAAGAGGAUUGGAUCUCGGAUCGUAUAGCCCUGACAUGUAAGGGUGUUGGAGUGCUUCUGUGACGGAGAUUCUCUUAGUUGGAUCAAACACAAGCAUCCUUUGCAACAAGUCUAUAGCUAAAGGAUCAGCUUGAGGGUAUAAACGGGACAAAUGUGUCCCUCUAGAAUAGGGCAAUGAUUUGAUGUACUUCCUGGCUUUUGGGUUGUCAAUGAAUGCAAGGUCAGGUUCCUGCUGGCUACCAAGAACAUUGAUAAUUAGUUUUAGUUGGUUGAGGCAUUCAGUUCCAGGGAAGAUUGGCUUCCGGCCAAGAAUUUCAGCAAAGAUGCAUCCUACGGACCAGACGUCAAUGGAUGUUCCAUAAUUGUCACAGCACAAUAGCAGCUCCGGUGCACGAUACCAGCGAGUGACAACAUACUCUGUCAUGAACUGGCCACUACCUCCGCUGGUUCGAGCCAACCCAAAGUCACAUAUUUUCAAGUCGCAGUUAGCAUUGAUGAGCAGGUUCCCAGGCUUCAAGUCCCGGUGAAGGAUGUUUGCUGAAUGAAGAUACUUGAGCCCUCGAAGUAACUACAAUGCAGAAUCAGAUUAGUCACAAGCAGAAUAACUAUUAGAAGAAUAGAACUCACAAAUUAACUGAAGCUUGGUAACAAAUCAAACUUUUAGAAGCUUAAAUGCAUAGAAACCCCGGAGUGUUAAGUUCUACAUAAGAAAAUGCAAGAAGCUGAAACAUCUCCUCAUACUUGGUCAAAAUGUGCUUUGGUAACAUGCUUUCUAUUCAUUCAGUUCCUAAAUCUUUUCCAGAAUCGUUUACAUUUCCAUGAACUAAUUCAGCUCAAAAUUAGCAUCAACCAAUUAGGAUGACUACUUAAAGAAUUAAUGAGAUAAAAUAACACAAGUUAAGAGAAAGCCUGUACCUGAAACAGAAAGUAUUUGCAAUGGUCACUGGAAAGUGGUUGUGAGGACUUUAUAAUUUGAUGAAGAUCCGUAUCCAUGAGCUCAUAAACGAAAUACACGUCCUUGAAGCUUGUCCUGUGGAUAGGCAUCAUAACAUCCUUCAGAGCAAUCACAUUCUCGUGCCGGAUAUGUUUAAGAAGCUUCAACUCCCUCAGAGUCCUCAACGCAUCAAUGCGGUUCUCAAACACAUUAUUGAUCUUCUUGAUUGCAACUUUCUCAUUCGUUUCCCUAUUGAUUGACGAGCACACUACACCAUAUGCCCCUCUCCCUAUGGGUUUGAUUGGUACGUACUUGAUGUCAACCUCAAACAAUGUCUGCCACAUUGAGUAAUAAUGCUUCCCCCGUUGCCUAAUUCCGUUCGGAGGCUCAACUAAAGUUGCCAUUUUCCUGCAAACCACUGUAAAAUGAUCCAAAUCACUCAAAACCCCUCAUAACAUAAAACAUAAUUACUUCUUACAAUUCCCUGUUUAUGAUAAUAUUCUUGCUACUUUUUCCUACUUUUAAUUACAUACAAUUCACGUCUACUUUUGGCUUCCUUUUUUACUUUCAACUCCUAAUUUUUUCAUCUUUUUCUUUUACUUUUCAACCCAGCAAUUUUCCAAUCCCAUUCACACCACAAAUUCUCCAACUUCCACACACCCUAAAAAACUACCCAAGAAACCAAACUCAAAACUGAAACUGAGAAGCACACUUAUUCCCCGAGUUCGAACUCCCUCCCCCGAAUUUAAAUUAGUUUAAAGUAGAAUAUCGAUCACAUCAAAACACUAGCUGAGAAACCAAAGUUUUACUUUUUACCAACAUGAAGGCUCCCAAGUUCACUUUCCCAAUACCCAAUUCACGAAUUCAUAGCUAAAUUCUAAAACUUUAUACAAAAUUCAACAGCAAAAAAAAAAAAAAAAAAAAAAAAAAAAAAAAAACCCAGAAAAGAAAUAAGAACAAACCUCAAUAAUUGGCGAGCAACAUUAACAGGAGAAGAGAGAGAUCCUCAAAGGUCGUGGGGACAAGUAACUGGCUUGUAAAUAGAUCUUCCCUUAUCUAUAUAUAAAUACAUAUAUAUUUAUAUAAAUGGCUCAAAAGCUCACAGUGGUAUCAGAUCAUCACGAGUUACGAUUCGUUAUUUCGUCGUGAUCAGUGAGAGAGAUCUUAGAGAGAGGGAGGAGAGAGAGAGAGGGGGGGGGGGGGUUAAUGUUAAAUGCAAAUUAGUUUUGGGUUUUGGGGGGUUUGGGGAAUUGGGGGAGAGAGAGAGAGGAGAAGGAGCCAAACCCAUGACACCAACACGGCAAAAAUGGGUGGGUGUAUAUGUAUAAUAUCACAAAAACGACAGCUUAAAAGAUCAACGCUUUCUUUCGGUCCUCGUUUUUGUUGCUUCAUGCACAAUCAAUCAAACACUAAAAAAUCAUGCUCUCGAGUUUACGAUCACGCCGUCGGUUGACGGCUCCGGUUCAGCUCGGCUGGCUUAUCAGUUCAUCUCACACUUCACUCGUUUUUGUAAUGGUAAAUUACGUUUUACCCCCUUAGGUUUUGGGUUAAUUUCAAUCCCUUACGCAUCUUUAAAACAUUUCAAUUUCAUACAUUUACUUAUCAUUUUAUUUCAAUUUCCUACAUCCGUUAGAAAAUCUGUUAAGUAAACUGUUAACUGAUGACGUGGCAAAUAUGUAAUCCACAUUUAUGCUGACGUGGCAGCCAUAUUUGUGUCACGUGACAAAAAAUUAAUUUUUUUAUUCAUUUAAAAUAUAAUAAUAUUUUACCUAUUAAAUUAAAAUAAAUAUUAUUUUUUUACCACGUGGCACAAAUGUAACAGUCACGUCAGCACAAAUAUGGAUUCCAUAUUUGUCACGUCAUCAGUUAACGGUUUGCUUAACAGAUUUUCUAACAGAUGUAUGAAAUUGAAAUAAAAUGAUAAGUAAAUGUAUGAAAUUGAAAUGUUUUAAAGAUGUUGUAAAGAAUUGAAAUUGAUUCCAAACCUGUGGAGGUAAAGUAUAAUUUACCCUUUUUGUAAUUUGCAAAUGUACCUUUUUUCAACCCUAUUUAAUUGGAAAUUUAUACCAUGAACGGCACAAGAAUUCAUUGUACUUAUCUAUUUUUGCAUAUGGUAAAUGUUUUAUUUUUAUACUUUGAUUCAAUGAUAUUUUUAGAAUGAGGAUCCUCUCCAAAUCCUCUUUGUGAGGAUCCGAGGAGCAUCAAAUCGUGUUUAUUCAUCAUAUAUCGUACGGUCAGUUUUCGUCAAAUACUAUUCAUGUUUAAUUUUAAAUAAAAAUAUUUAAAAUGAUUUCUAGCCGCACGAUGUACGAUGAACGGAUACGAUUUGAGUAUCCGUUGAGGAUCCUCAUUCAUAUUUUUAUACUUGAGGGGUGGAUGACUUGAGUUAAGGAGCUACAAAAUACGCUAGUUGUAAUAAUUAGAUAUCAAACUCGUUAUUUGAUGAAGUUUAAUAUGAGAUUUUUCAUAGUAAGAAGAAAUGUAAUGAAAAAACUGUGUUCAAUUUGAAGGUAGAAGUUGUGUUACUCAUUGACGAAACUUACCACUAACAAAAUUGUUGUCCAAUUUGACAAGAUAAAGAAAUGCUAGUCAUCUCCGCCAUUCUUCUUCAAUUACGAACCCAUCUCAUCUCCUUUGACAUAUUUGGAAAUAAGGAUGUAUAUGCUCUUAGAUAAUGCUAAACAAUUGGUGGUUGAUGUUUUUAAGUAUUUCUAACGUGUAAUUUUAGGAGACCUAUUACUUCGUACUCAUCGGUACAUUUUAUAAUGCUAAGUUCCAUAAGUUUGGUCAUAUCUUAAAUUUUUUAUUUUACUAUUAUUAAUGGGAGUGGGAGAGUUCGAAAUUAUUAUAAAAAUUUAGAGGAAGACGGAGUUUCAAACCAGACUCAUGGAUAAAAAUCCAACACCCUAUUUACUAGCAUAUAGGACCACAUGUGACCGCCCCUCCUUGCUCUUAUAUGACUUUGCCACUGGGGUAACAUAUACUUAACUACAAUGGUAUUAUUAAGAGUUAUGCACCACAAAAGGAACAUUAACAUAAUACAUGAAUGCUUUGUGUAAUCUGACCUCUAAGGAAACAUAUUUAACCCAUUUGAUUUUAGAAAUCAAUGCUAAUAACGAUCGCAAGAAUUUUGUGAUAUUGAUCAUACCGUGCUCUUAUUAUCUUAUUGAUUCAUGAUUUACAUGUAAAUAAAAAAGAAUAUAAUGUAUUAAUAUUGUAAUAGUUGAUGUAUAAUUAUAUGUGUAGGGAAUAUUAAGGUAAAAAAUGCUACUCUUACCACAUAUUUGUAUUAUCAUUUGUAUCAUCUUUUUAAUGAAGAUAAAACUUACAUGUGUUGGCUGUCCCAACCUAUCAGAGAGAUGUUGUACAAAUAGAUAGUUACGUGUAAUGUUACUCUAUUAAACCCUUUUGCUUUUGGUGGACUUGGCUUAAGCCAAACCAAAUGGCUAUAAGCCUAAAACUAAAGGGAAGCAGUCCAACUUGAAGAAAUGGUAAAGAUUGUGAAGAGUGUUGUCUUUGCUUUCCCUACAAUUCAGUAAUCUCUCUCUCGUGCGAAUCUUUCAAAGAAACAUUCUCUAAACGCACACUUCCUCCGCCGCCCUCCCCCACCUCUCAAGCAACCGGCGCAGCCACGUGGAGAUGCGGUAGCUGCCAGGCCGGUUCCUUUGCUGAGUUUUGCUUAUCUUGCUUGGUGGGACCCGCAUGAGCAAACCCUAUUUUGUUAUCCAUCUAGAUCUAAUAAUCUAAAGAGAAGUAGCUCAACUCUCACUUGCUUCCCAACAAGCAAAUCACAAAGUCUUUGUCUACAUCAUGAUGUCAUAUCAUGCGUAAUGCACCCAAACAAACCCAGCUGGGUUUGUACCAAACAAUUAAUACUUACAUCAACAACUAUCGCCGACAAGAUUGGAACUCAGAACCGACUCCAGCAAAAUUAGAGACUGAAUGUCCGUUAAAAUUAGGUUAUCUACAACAUGAUCAGAUCAUGCAUGCAUCCAAAAUCCAGUUGGGUUUGUAUCAAUCCCUAAAUAGUUUUUCCAACAACUAUCGUCCUUCUAUGAGAUUUGAACGCAUGAUUCCUUUAACAAAAUAGAGACUGAGUGUCGCUAGACCAAUAUUUAUUGCCUAUCAGAAACUUAUAUUGAAAAAAUAAAGAUAUUUACAUAAAUUAUAAUAGUUAAAAGUGAUAAACUUGCAAACUAUGCACAUGGCCAAAACUUUGUGCAUUCAUAAUGUAAGUGGUAAGAGUUUGAUGGAACAGUAAGUAGAGUACAGGGGCGCAUUUGGGUGGGGGGUUUUGAUAGCCAAAACAUAUCUUCUUCUGUGUCUAACAUUCUUCACCAGAUAUUGAACUGCAUUACAACCCAAAACAUAUUAGAAAUGUCACAAACUCCACCUAAAAGUCGAAUAAGUGAUGUUUUCGUCUCGGUUGCUCACCAUUUUCUUCUUCAUGUUGUUCUUCCUCUUCUUCUUUUUGUCAAGAGAGCCAAAGAGUUCCUCUUGCUGGGUAAGCGACUCCUCGAGAGCCUAAACAAGAAGCCAAUUCAAAUGAAGAUCAUACACAUCUAACGUUAAUAGUACCCUGCUAGUGAUUGAUGCAAAUGACAGAUUUUUACUUUCCUAUUGGAUUAUGUUUCAUGAUUUAUAGCGGAACUUAUAGAAACCCUACCUGCUUUGUUGCCAUAAGCUCUUUCUCCAAGGCACCAACCCGGCCUAGAGCAGUAUUCAGCAUUUCCUCCUUCUGAGCUGGCACGGUGGCUGGUUUCAUGUUCAAAACAGUCAUUCUCUCUUCCAACUCAGCCAUGCGUUUCAUGACAGUCAUGAGAUCUGAGCCGGAGAUGGCAGCGUGUGAAGAGCCCUGGCCUUUGACCAUUGUGUCACCGUCGCAGACAGUGCUGGAGUAGAAGGUGGAGUCAGUGAGCCUCUUCGGCAUGCUACGUGUUAGUCUGACCAUGGCGACAAUGCCCAUAAGAAACGUCAGAAUAGCAGCCAUAAUCUGAGAGCCGAACCCUUCAGGAAGUUUGCAAGCAUUGUUCCUGGUGAAACAAUCUCCUGCUGCAAGUAAAGGAAACUCAGACCCUACGGAAUAUCUUAGAGCUAGAAAAGGAAAGGAAACACAAUAUACAAGGUCACCUAAAUUCUUAGAUGAUUUAGCGUUUGAGAGGGCAAAUUUAACAUUCCCCGUCGCCAUUGGCCAACUUGAAUCCACGGAUUUACCAACCAUCGAGGCACUGUCCUCGCGCCUGAAAGACGCUUCGCGAGUUUUGGCUAGCGAUACCUGCGAAAAUUAUUUCACAGAGGAAGUUAGAACUGUCGCGACAAGAGAGGAGGGAAACUUCAGCUACAAGAUACGCAGAUAACAAGUAUAUGUGUGUCUAUGCUUAGAAACAUAUACAUGAAAAAAGGAAAGCUCUCAGUGUACGAGACAAUUGCUCGGUUGAAAAUUAAAUUGAACUUGGAAGCUUUUUGCACCUAUGCUUAGAAACAUAUACAUGAAAAAAGGAAAGCUCUCAGUGUACGAGACAAUUGCUCGGUUGAAAAUUAAAUUGAACUUGGAAGCUUUUUGCACUUACUUCUUCAUGGAAGCGAGAAAGUGCAUGAUUAAGUUUAGGAGUGGAACGGCCGAUGUUUAGAGCUGCACCGAGUCCCUAGGAAGAUUAUAUGAUCAAGGUAUAGAUGACAUUUACGAACCAGAAGCACCAAAAUAUAUUUUCAAAAAUCAUGCGACUGAGAAUUUUGAGAUGAUCUAAUGUCCGAAAUGUGACAAUCCAAAAAACUUGUCAACUAGGGGCAGGUUUAUAAGGAAAAAGAAAAGCAGAAGAUAUGUUCAAGUAAGACCUACUUGAACUCCAGGUUUUCUUGAACAUUUAUGAAUGCCGUUUUGAACCAUCUGCAAGUACAUAAAUCGAUACUUAUGAAUUCUAAUUAAAUUAGAAGUUAAAAUAAUGCAUAGUAGUAAUGAUGCAUAAAGGGGGGAAAAAAAAAGAAGAAGAUACAGAACGGUCUUUAUCUACCUUCACGAUCUCAGGUUGUUUCCAGGGUCCCUUGUCCGAACGCAUACAGCCUCCUUGAUCAGAACAAGUACAUGUACCUCCUAAAAACUUGGGCAAUUCGCUGGAGCAAAGUCAAGCCAGAAUAUGUACAUCAAAAUAAACGAACUGAUGGAGCAGCUUAUAUGGUAGUGAAGAUCCUAAAAAGUCUGCCUCGUUUUGAACAGACUUACCUAGCAUCAAUUAUUUCAAGCAACUUGCUCUGAUACUUGUUGCCAAGGACCUGGAGGAUGAUAGUUUUCCCCGAUUAAUGUAGCCCUGACGAAAACAAGCACUUUUUAGCAUCAUAAUGUAUAUACUCACAUUAAUCUUUGCUGUAGUCUUCGGGUCAAGGAACGACUUCACGCUGUUCCACAACAUUCUAAAGCCAGAACCAGCGUUGAUGAUAAACAUGCGAUUCAAGGUCUGCGGUAAAAACAACAAUUUAUGUGGCAUCAUAAUUCUGCCAUCGACAAAAUAUGUUCUGAAGUUCCCGAAAUUUAUAGACCAAAAGAUGUUAAGGUACCUCAGGAUAAUUGUCACCGUCAAUCUUCUGAAGGCGAGUAAUAAGUUCCCUGGCAGCUUUGUUGAAAUUCUUAAAUCCCUGAGGCAUUACAGUACAACAACAACAACAACAACAAAGCCUUUUCCCACUAAGUGGGGUCGGCUAUAUGAAUCCUAGAACGCCAUUGCGCUCGGUUUUGUGUCAUGUCCUCCGUUAGAUCCAAGUACUCUAAGUCUUUUCUUAGAGUCUCUUCCAAAGUUUUCCUAGGUCUUCCUCUACCCCUUUGGCCCUGAACCUCUGUCCCGUAGUCACAUCUUCGAACCGGAGCGUCAGUCGGCCUUCUUUGCACAUGUCCAAAUCAUCGGAGCCGAUUUUCUCUCAUCUUUCCUACAAUUUCGGCUACUCCUACUUUACCUCGGAUAUCCUCAUUCCCAAUCUGAUCCUUUCUCGUGUGCCCACACAUCCCACGAAGCAUCCUCAUCUCUGCUACACCCAUUUUGUGUACGUGUUGAUGCUUCACCGCCCAACAUUCUGUGCCAUACAACAUCGCUGGCCUUAUUGCCGUCCUAUAAAAUUUUCCCUUGAGCUUCAGUGGCCUACGACGGUCACACAACACGCCGGAUGCACUCUUACACUUCAUCCAUCCAGCUCGUAUUCUAUGGUUGAGAUCUCCAUCUAAUUCUCCGUUCUCUUGCAAGAUAGAUCCUAGGUAGCGAAAACGGUCGCUUUUUGUGAUCUUCGCUAGAUUGCUCCGGUCAUUAGUGUGGAUAAGUAUAUAAAUGGAUAGAGAUAGGAAAGCAAACACAAGAUGUACGUGGUUCACCCAGAUUGGCUACGUCCACGGAAUAGAAGAGUUCUCAUUAAUUGUGAAGGGUUUACACAAGUACAUAGGUUCAAGCUCUCCUUUAGUGAGUACAAGUGAAUGAUGAUUUAGUACAAAUGACAUUAGGAAAUAUUGGGGGAGAAUGAUCUCGUAAUCACGAAACUUCUAAGUAUCGGAGUGUGGUGUCGUCUUGACUUGCCUUAUCUGUCUCAUAGGUAGAUGUGGCAUCUUCUCUGGAAGUACUACUCUCUUCCUCCAUCCAGGGGUGGUAUCUUUAACUGGUGGAGAUGCACAAGGUAAUGUAUCAAUUUCACUUGAAGCUUACUUGUAGUCUCAGGCUUGGUCAAGCGCGAUACAAACCAUGUAGUAGGAGUCCCCCAAGUCGCCGAGCUAGGGGGUCUGCUGAAAGAGGUGACAGACAAGGUAAGCAAUCAGAGCUCCGACUGAUUGUUCACCUUCUCCCCAUCUUGCAGCAGCAUGAAGGAUAAAGAGAAGAAAAAUGAGAAGAGAUGAUAUGAGAUACUUUUGCUUUUGAAGAAGUAACUUUCCACAGGCUUAUUCUUGAACUGAGCUGGAGGGUUUUCUGGUUUCCUCCAGAGUAUAAGGCCGACUGAAGAAUUUGAGGGUCAAAACAAGUCCAUCAAAUCUAGAGUACGUUCCACCCUGCUGAUAUGGGAUACUUUUGCUUUUGACAGAGUAAUGGGUGUAUCGGCACGUGUGCUGUUACGCUUGUCUCCACAUGCUUCCUUGUAUCCUUCGCACUUGCCCUAUCUGUUCCUCAAGCAGAUGCGGAAUCUUCCCUGGAAACAUAAGAUGUUGAAGAUGAGUACUCGAGAGCAAUGCCAGGUAAGUAAUCAGGUAAGGGGUUCCAGGCAGUCAGUUCCUGGCUGGAAGCUUGAUCCAAGUGCUGACUGAUUACUCUCUUUCUCCUUGUCUUGCAGGUAAAAACAAGGCCAAAGGAAAAGACAGGGAAAAAGCAUGAUAUGGGAUACUCUUGCUUUUAACCCUGAUGAUAUGAGAUAUUCUUGCUCUAGUAUAGCUUGUUUGCAGAGGUAUUAUCGGGGGGAAAGAAAGCUGAAUAUUUCGAAAGGCUUCGUUGGGAGUGCCCUCUCAGAUAUGAUGAAGGGUUGAGCAUUUUUGCAGGUCUGCCUGUCCGUUGGGGAUGAAGGUCGACAUAUAUAGGAGUCUCCCUAACAACAGGUAGUAAUGCUAUUCCUUUACCCUGCUUGGUCAUAGCACGGUAGUGGGAGCUGCCAGUUUCACAUGUUUUAACUCUGUCAGAGCACUUUGAAAAAGUGGUCUGUGGUAUCUGGCUCUCGAGAUUCGGAGAACGAUGCCUCUUCGAUUUUUGAGAAAGCAAUCAUGCUGGGGGUCUGGCUCUCGAGAUUCGUAGAGCAGUGUCUCUUCGAUUUUUGAGGAAGUAAUCAUGUUAGGAGUUUGGCUCUCGAGAUUCGGAGGGCGGUGCCUCUUCGAUUUUGGAGCAAGCAAUCCUGUUGGGAGUGUUGUCUCGAAUGUGAGUAAAGGUUGGGCAUGUUUGCUAGUCUACCUUGCCACGAAGCACAAAGGUUGACACACAGAGACUUUCCAAUUAUCCAGCAAUGGUACUGUUCCUUUACCCUCUCUUCGCUUUUGAGAAAGUAGUCAUGUUGGGAGUCUGGCUCUCGAGAUUCGGAGGACGGUGCCUCUUCGAUUUUGGAGCAAGCAAUCUUGUUGGGAGUGUUUUCUCGAAAGUGAGUAAAGGUUGGGCAUGUUUGCUAGUCUACCUUGCCACGAAGCACAGAGGUUGACACACAGGGACUUUCCAAUUAUCCAGCAGUGGUACUGUUCCUUUACCCUUGUGGGUAAUAAUAUGGUAGCUAGACCUUCAAAAAUUUAUGUGUCUAAACUUUGUUAGUGAUGUUUCUUUGCUAUUCUUUUACCUUUCUUGGUCAGAGCGAUGUAGUAGGAGCUGCAAGCUUCACGUGCUCAACUUUGGCAGAGAACUUUGGCAAAGUUAUCUGUGGUACCCAUGAGCUAUUGGAAGUGGGUGAUUGAACAGUAAGAUUCAUGUGCUUUCUACUUCACCAGAAGUCUUCGACAGAAUGCCCAUAAUUUCUGCAAAGCUGAGUGUGCGUGUGUGACAGGUGCUGACAAGGCUAGAAAAGUAGGUGCCUCUUCGAUUUCUGAGAUCGGCCCUCGUGGUCUCUGAGCAGCCCAGCUUUUGAGAAAGCGAGCGCCUCUUCGAUUGAUUCGGAGAACGAUGCCUCAUCGAUUUUUUGAGAAAGCAAUCAUGCUGGGGGUCUCUGGCUCUCGAAGAUUCGGGGAGCAGUGUCUCUUCGAUUUUUGAGAAAGUAAUCACGUUAGGAGUCUGGCUCUCGAGAUUCGGAGGGCGGUGGUGCCUCUUCGAUUUUGGAGCAAGCAAUCUUGUUGGGAGUGUUUUUCUCGAAUGUGAGUAAAGGUUGGGCAUGUUUGCUAGUCUACCUUGCCACGAAGCACAGAGGUUGACACACAGGGACUUUCCAAUUAUCCAGCAAUGGUACUGUUCCUUUACCCUCUCUUCGAUUUUUAAGAAAGUAGUCAUGUUGGGAGUCUGGCUCUCGAGAUUCGGAGGACGGUGCCUCUUCGAUUUUGGAGCAAGCAAUCUUAUUGGGAGUGUUUUUCUCGAAUGUGAGUAAAGGUUGGGCAUGUUUGCUAGUCUACCUUGCCACGAAGCCCAGAGGUUGACACACAGGGACUUUCCAAUUAUCCAGCAGUGGUACUGUUCCUUUACCCUUGUGGGUAAUAAUAUGGUAGCUAGACCUUCAAAAUUUAUGGGUCUAAACUUUGUUAGUGCUGUUUCUUUGCUAUUCUUUUACCCUUCUUGGUCAGAGCGAUGUAGUGGGAGCUGCAAGCUUCACGUGCUCAACUUUGGCAGAGAACUUUGGCAAAGUUAUCUGUGGUACCCAUGAGCUAUUGUUGCGUGUGGGAAGUGGGUGAUUGAACAGUAAGAUUCAUGUGUUUUCUACUUCCCCAGAAGUCUUCGACAGAAUGCCCAUAAUUUCUGCAAAGCUGAGUGUGCGUGUGACGGGUGCUGACAAGGCUGGAAAAGUAGGUGCCUCAUCGAUUUCUGAGAUCGGCCCUCGUGGUCUCUGGGGAGCCCAGCUUUUGAGAAAGCGAGCGCCUCUUCGAUUUCUGAGAUCGGCCUUCGUGGUCUUUGAGCAGCCCAACUUUUGAGAAAGCAAGCGCCUCUUCGAUUUCUGAGAUCAACCCUCGUGAUCUCUAAGCAGCCCAGCUUUUGAGAAAGCAAACGUCUCUUCGAUUUCUGAGCAGGCGCCUCUUCGAUUUCCGAAGCUCCGUCGAGUGCAGAUUUUUAUAGAGGCUGACAUUAAGUUCCAAAGCACACUUGAAUCUCCACCAGUAGAAGCUUCAUUCUUGCACUUCUAAGAUCUUGAUUUGUCCGACCUCUUCUCUCUUCAACACCUUUGAAAAUGUCUGGCCCCUCCGACCGUCGUUUUGACUUGAACCUUGUUGAAGAGGCAGCCCCGCCUUCUCCAGACAACAUAUGGCGCCCAUCCUUCGUCUUCCCUACUGGUCCUCUUACCGUUGGGGAUUCCGUGAUGAAGAAUGAUAUGACCGCUGCGGUGGUGGCCAGGAACCUUCUCACUCCCAAAGAUAACAGACUACUUUCCAAACGGUCUGAUGAGUUAGCUGUUAAGGAUUCGCUGGCUCUCAGUGUUCAGUGUGCAGGUUCUGUGUCUAAUAUGGCCCAACGCCUAUUUGCUCGAACCCGCCAAGUUGAAUCCUUGGCGGCUGAAGUGAUGAGUCUCAAACAGGAGAUUAGAGGGCUCAAGCAUGAGAAUAAACAGUUGCACCGGCUGGCACAUGACUAUGCUACAAACAUGAAGAGGAAGCUUGACCAGAUGAAGGAAACUGAUGGUCAAGUUUUACUUGAUCAUCAGAGAUUUGUGGGUUUGUUCCAAAGGCAUUUAUUGCCUUCGUCUUCUGGGGCUGUACCGCGUAAUGAAGCUCCGAAUGAUCAACCUCUGAUGCCUCCUCCUUCUAGGGUUCUGUCCAGUACUGAGGCUCCAAAUGAUCCCCCUCCGGUGCCUUCUCUUUCUGGGGCUCUACCGACUGCUGAGACUUCUCCUAAGCAACCCUUGUGAAGGCUCCGUCUUGUGUGUUUAUUUUGACUCAUGUAUAUGUACAUAUUUGUAGCUGAUCGGGGAUAUCAAUAAAUAAGCUUUCCUUCAUUUCAACGUAUUGUGUUAAAUACACCAAAGCCUUCUUCGCUAAGUUCUUUGAAUUUUCUUUUGUUGAAGCUUGUAUGUUGAAGCUUUCUGAGUGGAGCAUGUAGGUUGGGGUAGUGUUCCCUUAAUUUCCCGAGUGAGGAAAACUUCUCGAUUGGAGACUUGGAAAAUCCAAGUCACUGAGUGGGAUCGGCUAUAUGAAUCUUAGAACGCCAUUGUGCUCGAUCCUGUGUCAUGUCCUCUGUUAGAUCCAAGUACUCUAAGUCUUUUCUUAGAGUUUCUUCCAAAGUUUUCCUAGGUCUUCCUCUACCCCUUCGGCCCUGAACCUCUGUCCCAUAGUCGCAUCUUCUAAUCGGAGCGUCAGUAGGCCUUCUUUGCACAUGUCCAAACCACCGUAACCGAUUUUCUCUCAUCUUUCCUUCAAUUUCGGCUACUCCUACUUUACCCCGGAUAUCCUCAUUCCUAAUCUUAUCCUUUCUCGUGUGCCCACACAUCCAACGAAGCAUCCUCAUCUCCGCUACACCCAUUUUGUGUACGUGUUGAUGUUUCACCGCCCAACAUUCUGUGCCAUACAGCAUCGCCGGCCUUAUUGCCGUCCUAUAAAAUUUUCCCUUGAGCUUCAAUGGCAUACGGCGGUCACACAACACACCGGAUGCACUCUUCCACUUCAUCCAUCCCGCUUGUAUUCUAUGGUUGAGAUCUCCAUCUAAUUCUCCGUUCUUUUGCAAGAUAGAUCCUAGGUAACGAAAACGGUCGCUUUUUGGUAUUUCUUGAUCUCCGAUCCUCACCCCUAACUCGUUUUGGCCUCCAUUUGCACUGAACUUGCACUCCAUAUAUUCUGUCUUUGAUCGGCUUAGGCGAAGACCUUUAGAUUCCAACACUUCUCUCCAAAGGUUAAGCUUUGCAUUUACCCCUUCCUGAGUUUCAUCUAUCAACACUAUAUCGUCUGCGAAAAGCAUACACCAAGGAAAUAUCAUCUUGAAUAUGUCCUGUUAACUCAUCCAUUACCAACGCAAAAAGGUAAGGACUUAAGGAUGAGCCUUGAUGUAAUCCUACAGUUAUGGGGAAGCUUUCGGUUUGUCCUUCAUGAGUUCUUACGGCAGUCUUUGCUCCUUCAUACAUAUCCUUUAUAGCUUGGAUAUAUGCUACUCGUACUCCUUUCUUCUCUAAAAUCCUCCAAAGAAUGUCUCUUGGGACCCUAUCAUACGCUUUUUCCAAAUCUAUAAAGACCAUGUGUAAAUCCUUUUUCCCAUCUCUAUAUCUUUCCAUCAAUCUUCGUAAGAGAUAGAUUGCCUCCAUGGUUGAGCGCCCUGGCAUGAACCCGAAUUGGUUGUCCGAAACCCGUGUCUCUUGCCUCAAUCUAUGCUCAAUGACUCUCUCCCAGAGCUUCAUUGUAUGACUCAUUAGCUUAAUACCCCUAUAGUUCAUGCAAUUUUGUACGUCGCCCUUGUUUUUCCAUUGGCGAUUCUAGUUUUUUGUUUUUCAAAUCCUUUGCUGAGUAAAAGUAGAGGUUAUGGUUAUCACAUACCACUCCUUGCACAUCGAGGAUAGUUGUACUUUGAUCAAUGUUCUUCUUUGCUGCAAUUGAACAAGCUGGAAACUUAACCGCAAAUGUCCUUUCAAACUCCUGCACAUGGUACUUGAGAUAGCGGUCCAUAGUUGUGGCUUGCAUCAGCUUGGUCGCAUCUACUAGGCCUAUUCUCUCGAUUUACACAGGUCGUCCUUCCUUGUCUAUGCCAUGAUGUCCUUGGGGGUAGUAUUGCAAGACUUCAUCGAGUUCCUUGAAGUAAAAGUCCUAGAAGAAAAGAUAGAUACAUGAGUAACUAGAUUGAUGGACAAAUAUAAACAAAAGAAAUUCUGCUCUUACUAAAAGAAAACAAACAUAAAAAUCGAACGGAAAGAAGUAAAAUGAAAUAAUUAGCAAACUUCAAAAGCCUAAGCACCUAUUUCUACAGAGAAUACCUCCAUGAUUGUGUCAGCACCGAAUGCCUUCCUCCACUCGAGCAUGUCAGACCACAUUUUCUUGGUUUUGUCGACAUCAAAUUUCCUGGCCUUCAAGAAUCUGUCUUCCAAUGGUUAAGUUAGAUUGAAUAAGAAUGAAGUAUCUAUCUUAAAAACCAUCGAAGACAAAAACUUCUAGUGGAACAAGAAGAGGAAGAAACCUGAGCAUCUUAUGAUAAUCAUCGUGCUUGAAAGGAAGAAGCUCCUCCAAUAUAAGAGCCUGCCGCAGCGAGUCAACAGCCUGUAUCUCCUCUAAGUCAUGUACAUCCUCAAUGUCGAUAGACAAGACUUUACUACUGCUUGUUCUACCCCUUGUUGAAAAAGAAUUUCUGAACCUAACAGAGGCAUUCAUUGCCUUCUUCUUCAACGACCCGACUUUAGUCUUUCUAUCUUCCUCAGAGAUUUCAGCAUCAGAUACUGAAAAUUACACAACAUAAGAGAUUCAUACCUAUGCGCAUCAAACGCGAGGCAUCCUAAUAUGCAAAGAUUUAUAAGUCUACCUAUCAAUGCAUUAAAUUCCAAGGCUUUUUGUUCAUUCCAACAUCCUAAGGUCCCUUUAAAGUGGCAACGCGCAUUACAAAUUCAAGACAAGUCCUCACGUUUGAAGCAUACAGUUAUCAAGAUGUGAAAAUACGUUGAUUAUAAAUGAAAUAUCACCUGGUAGAGAUCCAGACAUGGUGUUACUUGUGAGGAAAACGGUGUUUACUUGUCCGAAAACAUUGCGAAAGUAGUAGCUGAAGGGCGGAAGAAGAAUCAAGCACUCGUAUCACAAUUCACAGAUGCAGACCCAGAAGCAAAACCCUGCCCAAAUGCCUGCAAUUACAGUCCCACUUGUAACCAAAUGCAGCUUAAAAAAAUAAAAAAUAAAAAUAAAUAAAAAUAAAAAUAAAAAAACCAAACCGAAGAGGAAAAUCGUCUAAAAUGAUCAGAAAUUAAACCCCAAUUGUAAAAUAAGAUAUCCACGACAUAGUGACCAAAUAAUAAUGACAUACUGAAAAACUGAUUAUUUUGCAAUUGGAAUUUGAAAAAAUGAUCGUUUUGGCAAUUUCCCAACUAGAAAAGCAAAUUACUUCCAAGUAAAUUUUAGCAGUAACAAAAAUGAGAAAACUUAAAGGGGAAUCCAAUUGAACAAAAUGCUUGCAUUUACAUUCCCACUCACAAAAUCACAACCACAAUGCAGCCUAAACUAAAAUUUGAAAAUACAACUAAGGAUAAAAUUAAAGGAGUUUUAACGAAACACUAUCGGUACUGUUCACUUACCAACACUUUUGUAUCAUUUUUAUUAAAACGCGAAGUUUUUAAAUCUUUUUUAUUAGUUUUUCCUUAAAAUUAAUUCGAAUAAAAUUGUGCAGUAAUAAAGACAGAAAGAGGCCGAGCCUUGACACAACGAAAAUAUUGUUUUUUUAUAACCGAAAGGUUACGAAUUCGAGUCGUGAAAACAACCUCUUUGCAAAGCAGACAGCCUUGUUGGCUUGAGUCGCCACUUUAGUAAAAAAGACAGAAAAACAAAAUGGAAUUAUUAUUGAUUUCAUUACGUCUAUCCUCUGGUGAACAGUGUUUGGGGGGCGGGGGUGGGGGGAGUCCCGAAAAAAAAAAAAACAAAAAUGGGGUUUUGGGGGGAGAGGGAAAAGGAUGGAUAUAAAUAUCCUGAAUCCUAGUUGGGAUUUGAGAGUUCUUAGAAAAUGGCGGAGAGACAGCGAGGCAGACAUGUUUGGAAGACACAUAGAAGAAAAUUAGUAAAUCUUGUUUUCUCUUUUUAAGGUUUCGAUUCAGUUCAGAGCUUGAUGUUUGACGAGGUCUCGACACAAGGCGAAACGCAAGGCAACUCCACUCAAAUUUAAAUAACGUCUCUUUGAUUCUCCCGGUAAAACUGUAUUGCCUUCAUUUCAUGUAUGGUUUUGUUUUCAUUUUUAUAAAAUCUCGAGAGAACAAUUUUAUUAACAAUAAUCAUGAAACAAUAUAGGGCAUGUAAUUUGAUCAUGGCUUACUAAUAUCGGGCUCGUUUAGAAAUGUUACUUUGAAAAACAUACUUAGAAGCACUUCCAUCGUAAUACAUUGAAAAAUUUAAUAAAAAUUCAAAAACAACCUGAAAUAUUUCUUGAAAGAAACAUCUGGCAAGUGUUUUUCUUAUAUAGCAUGACCGGAUGCUUUUCUAACCCAAAAGCAUUUUAACUUUUCCUCUUAAAUAUUAUGAAAAUCGGUUUUGGUUAUCUAAAAUCACUUCUAAAAGAUCGUUAUAUCAAUAAAAUCAGAGGCACCUUGAACCAACAAAAAACAAACCAAAAUAAAGAAUAGUAAUGCAACAAAAUAAGUGUUUCAACUAACUGGAUUAGAGAGAGAUAUACAUUGUGUAUUUGUUGUCUCUUUUCUUCACCUGCUGCCUUCUUUUAUUUUUGGGGAUAAGAAGUUAGAAACCAACAUCCUCCCAUUAUAUAGCGCUCCAGCAGACUCCUAUGAGUGUUCAUAUAGAACUGUAGAUUUCCAAAUCUACGUAUUUGGGAUUUGAUAGGAGAAAAAUCUUGAGAGUUGGAUUACGUAGUUAAUUGUUUGAUUUUACUAUGAAUAACGGAUCAUAGAUCUUAAGUUGUGAGAAUGUAUCUUGCUCGACGUUCACAUGCAUAACAAACUUUUAUUCUAACUAAAAAUAAAGGAUUAUAAAUCUUAGAUUGUUACUUGUUUACGAGAUAAUUUGUAAAUGUUGUCCUAUCACAGUUGUACUUUCUGUUUUUAUAGUUAACUUUUUUUGCAUUUUUCUUACUUUAUUAUAAAAUCCACAUCCUUUCUUUUAAAUCGUUUCAUGCAAAUGUACGUUUAUAUCAAAUCAUGUUAUAAAUAUGUCAAAGUUAGAGGGAUAACCUUUUUAGUGAAUAGAACGAAGCAGAUGUAAAAUGUCAUACUGAAAUUAUAGCACUAGGGAAUGACAAAUAAAAGAGGGAGGAAUAGAUGAUAUUAUUGAGCAUUCUUUCUUUCUUUAUGUAUAUUCUCUUUGUAUGUAUAUCGAUGGCAGUAAGAGUGCUCUAUUUAUAGAGCAACUCCAUAUGAAUAUCUUCUUACACUUUGAAAAUUUACAGCAUACCUUUUGAAAAGCAUGAUCUCCUGCAUCCAAAGUCAAUUUCUAUUUUUAUGGGCAUUGAAAACUUUUGCCAAAUUAAUGUGGGCAUUCACUACCCACCAGUAUUUUCAACAUUCCCCUUGGAUGCCCACAUAUCAACAUCAGUUGUCUCGUUAAAACCUUGAUAGGAAAAACCCAGUGGGAAAAAAACCAUAGCGAAGGAAAAAGAGUACAACUUUUCCUGGAUUGUUGACAUAGUGUUAAAUAUGCUUAUGUUGCCUCGUUAAAACCUUGAUAGGAAAAUCCCAGUGGGAAAAAUCCUAAUUGAAGGAAAAAGAGUACAACAUGCAUGUAUCAUGGAUGCUCCCCCUGAUAUGUAUCUCCCCCUGAUUCCGCAUUCUACAAAUUUAGUUGUUUGGUAAGUCGACGUAAUCCGAUACUUUACACUAACUUUUGAAACGUGCAUUUUGGUAGAGGCUUGGUGAACAAGUCUGCCAGAUUUUCAUUAGAACGGAUUUGUUUGACUUUAAUAACUUUAGCCUUCUGGAGCUCAUGUGCACUGAAAAACUUUAGAGAUAUGUGUUUAGUUUUAUCGCCCUUGAUGAAUCUUUCCUUCAUUUGGGCAACACAGGCUGCAUUAUCUUUAUGAAUGACAGUUGGAGUGUCUGUCUUUGAAGUUAAACCACAUGAAUUCCUGAUAUGAUGGAUCAUUGAUCUUAACCAAGAACAUUCAAGACUUGCUUUAUGUAAAGCAAGUAUUUCUGAAUUAUUUGAAGAUGUAGAACUAAUGUUUGCUUUGUUGAGCAUCAUGAGAUUGCUAUAUCUCCAUUCUUGAACACAUAUCCAGUUUGUGAGCGGGCUUUAUACGGAUAAGAGAGGAAACCAACAUCUACAUAUCCAACAAGGACCUGGUCAUUUGUGAAGUUCUUUGAGUAGAAGACCCAUGUCUGUUGUCCCACGAAGGUAUCGCAAUACAUCUUUAACACCUUUCCAAUGACGAAUUGUUGGAGCAGAGCUAUAGCUUGCUAACAAGUUGAUUGAAAAAGCUAUAUCAGGUCUAUUACAUUGUGCUAAAUACAACAAAACACCUACUGCACUUAGAUAUGGUACUUCUGGACCAUGGACCAUUUCAUCAUCUUCUUUUGAACGGAAUGGAUCUUUCUUAAUGUCCAGAGAACGAACGACCAUUGGCGUGCUAAGUGGAUAAGCUUUGUCCAUGCCAAAUAGCUUCAGGAUUUUUUCAAUAUAAGCUGAUUGGUGGACCAAAAUUCCACUAGCACAGAGCUCGAUCUGCAGGCCGAGACAAAAUUUUGUUUUUCCAAUGUCUUUCAUUUCAAAUUCGCUUUCCAGAUAUUCAGUAGUUUUAUGGAACUCUUUAGGGGUUCUAACUAGGUUCAUAUCAUCAACAUAUACUGCCACUAUAGCAAAUCCAGAGUUGGAUUUCUUAAUGAACACACAAGGGCAAAUGACAUUGUUGAUAUACCCUUCUUUGAUCAAAUACUCACUGAGACGAUUAUACCACAUUCGUCUAGAUUGUUUUAGCCCAUACAAUGAUCGCCUUAAUUUGAUCGAGAGCAUACCUCGUGGUUUGUUACUUGUUUCAGGCAACUUAAGUCCUUUUGGGACUUUCAUAUAUAUGUUAGUAUCUAAUUCUCCAUAUAGAUACGCAGUGAUGACAUCUAUAAGUCGCAUGUCAAGUUUUCUGAAACCACUAAACUUAUUAAGUAACGGAACGUAAUUGCGUUUAUUACAGGAGAGUAGGUCUCCUCAUAAUCAAUUCCAGGUCUUUGCGAAAAACCUUAAGCAACGAGUCGUGCUUUAUAUCUUGCAAUAUCAUUUUUCUCAUUGCGUUUCCUUAUGAAUACCCAUUUGUAACCCACGGGAUUUACAUCAGGCGGGGUUUGGACUACUGGUCCAAAAACAUUUCGCCUUUUCAAGGAAUUUAAUUCUACCUGAAUUGCAUCUUUCCACUUAGGCCAAUCUUGUCUCUGUUUACAUUCAUCAACAGAGCGGGGCUCAAUAUCAUCACUUAAUAUGAUUUCAGUGGCUACUGCGAAUGCAAACAUAUCGUCUAUAAUUAUUUCAUUCUGAUCCCACAAUUCAUUAGUGCAUGUAUAAUUUAUGGAGAUUUCUUUGCUUUCAUGUACUUUUGUCUCUUCAGGAACAUGUGUCUCAUCAACGACAUUUUCUUCUUCUGGAAGUCCAGAAUCAUGAAUUGUGGAUUUGUCAUUCAUUCUCUCUUCCCCGAAUGAUUUCAUUUGGAUUCAGCUGUGUCCUUAUCUUUCUCUUUCGAAGGGGUAAAUCUUUUGAACCUGGGGGUCUACCACGCUUCAGGCAUGCACCAUAUGAAUCAUACGCUGCCACUUUAUUUUGUCCAAUAAGGACAUCAAUUCUUGCAAGUGCAUUUGCAACUGGUAUAUGUGAUUUUUUCACUUUCAUAGCAUCAUUAAAUGUAUCUGGCAUUUGAUUGGCAAUGAUUUGAAGAUGGACGAUCCUUUUUACUUCAUUUUCACAUUGAAUGCUUCGAUGAUAAAAAUGAGACAAUGUGGGAACAACCCAUGUCAGCUCUUUCCAUUCUUCUGGAACGGUCUUUUCUUCCCUUAACGACGGGAAGACUGUCUCAUCAAAGUGACAAUCAGCAAAACGAGCUGUAAACAUAUUACCAGUUAAGGGUUCCAAAUAUCUAAUGAUAGAUAGUGAAUCAAAACCCACAUAAAUUCCCAGUCUACGCUGAGGUCCCAUUUUAGUGCGUUGCGGGGGUGUAAUAGGCACAUAAACAGUACAACCAAAAACUCGUAAGUGUGAAAUGUUUGGUUGAUAUCCAAACACGAGUUAUAUUGAGGAGUAUUGGUGGUUGGCUAUAGGUCUCAAUCGAACCAAUGAUGCAGCAUGUAGGAUGGCAUGUCCCCAUGCAGAAACUGGCAAUGUGGUUUUCAUAAGCAGAGUGCGAGCUAUUAACUGAAGCAGCUUGAUCAAUGCUUCUGCCAAACCAUUUUGAGUAUAGACAUGAGGAACAGGGUGUUCAACAUCAAUGCCCAAUGUCAUGCAAUAAUCAUCAAAAGUUUGAGACGUAAAUUCACCAGCGUUAUCAAGUCGGAUUGACUUAAUGGGAUAAUCUGGGAACUGUGCUCGUAACUUAGUUAUCUGAGCAAGAAGUCUCGCAAGAGCUACAUUACGAGUAGACAAGAGACAAACAUGUGACCAUCUAGUAGAUGCAUCAACCAAAACCAUAAAAUAUCGAAAUGGUCCACAAGAUGGUUGAAUAGGUCCACAAAUAUCUCUCUGAAUUCUUUGUAGAAAUGAUGGGGAUUCAGCAUCAACUUUUAGUUGUGAUGGUCUGAUUACUAACUUCCCUUGAGAACAAGCUUUGCAAGGGUUAUCAUUUGUGAUAGCAUGUCUUUG
RNAcentral lists this long non-coding RNA (39757 nucleotides) under Malus domestica (apple). The record is from RNAcentral. Lineage: Eukaryota; Viridiplantae; Streptophyta; Magnoliopsida; Rosales; Rosaceae.